CCCCCCAGGACUUUUUAUGUACAUAAGCAGAAGUCACUCGAGCAGCUGCGGCGCAUUAGUUCCAAUAGUUUAACAGGCUGCUUUGUAGCGCUGACAAAAGCCGAGCCAGCGCUGUGGCUUCCCUCCAUGUUCCUUUGCCUUGCGAGCUCGUCAGUGAUCUUUGGCAGGGGCUCGGGAGAGGACGGUGACGUUGAACAGGCUUCCGCAGGGGGUGCGCUCGCCUGGUCGACACGCAGCCCGGUCUCCACCGAGAGAUUGAGGCCGAAUGAACUAACAACAGCUGGAUCCGACCUGCUUUCCCGGACAUUUCCCAGACUCCGAGCAAGCAAGGGAAUCACUGGAAAGAGGCCAGGCAACCACGUUGCCCUGGAUUUUUGCCAACUGUACAAAGUUGACCAGGAAAAUGGCUCAGCAGACCACAAGCCCGGACACCUUAACAGUACCUGAAGUGGAUAAUCCGCAUGGUCCCAACCCAUGGCUGAACGAGGAUCUUGUGAAAUCCUUGCGGGAAAACCUGUUGCAGCAUGAGAAGUCCAAGACAGCGAGGAAAUCCGUUUCUCCCAAGCUCUCCCCAGUGAUUUCUCCGAGAAAUUCCCCCAGGCUCCUGCGCAGGAUGCUUCUCAGUAGCAACAUCCCCAAACAGCGUCGUUUCACGGUAGCACAUACAUGGUAAGGUUUGCACGGAUCACACGGAAAUGGUAACUUCCCCUCACCCUCGGUUAUUUUGCACCUCCCGUGGUUAAUUUCGGGAGUGGGAAGGGAGGAUCAUCAUCAUUCCUCACCUGUGGUGUAUGGGUGGUAAUGUACAUUAACAAUAAAUCCCACAAAUAAAUGUCCAAGUCGGGGCAGGAUUCCUUGAGACAGGA
RNAcentral lists this long non-coding RNA (866 nucleotides) under Marmota monax (woodchuck). The record is from RNAcentral. Lineage: Eukaryota; Metazoa; Chordata; Mammalia; Rodentia; Sciuridae.